GAUGCGGUACUCAAGAGGUUAAGAGGACAGUCUGCAAAACUGUUAUUCCGCCGGUUCGAAUCCGGUUGGCAUUACCA
This 77-nucleotide transfer RNA is filed under the name Lachnospiraceae bacterium. RNAcentral's name for it is "tRNA-Cys". It matches the Rfam family "tRNA". Rfam says of the family: Transfer RNA (tRNA) molecules are approximately 80 nucleotides in length. Their secondary structure includes four short double-helical elements and three loops (D, anti-codon, and T loops). Lineage: Bacteria; Bacillati; Bacillota; Clostridia; Lachnospirales; Lachnospiraceae. The record is from RNAcentral. RNAcentral also lists the same sequence under 1 other name.